UGGCUCAGUGAUAGAGCGCUUGCCUUGCAUGCAUGAGGUCCUGGGUUCGAUUCCUCAG
Molecule: transfer RNA, 58 nt
Filed under: Dipodomys ordii (Ord's kangaroo rat)
Lineage: Eukaryota; Metazoa; Chordata; Mammalia; Rodentia; Heteromyidae
Rfam family: tRNA
About the family: Transfer RNA (tRNA) molecules are approximately 80 nucleotides in length. Their secondary structure includes four short double-helical elements and three loops (D, anti-codon, and T loops).
Source: Rfam by way of RNAcentral